RNAcentral lists this unclassified non-coding RNA (343 nucleotides) under soil metagenome. RNAcentral describes it as "partial contains 5.8S ribosomal RNA, internal transcribed spacer 2, and large subunit ribosomal RNA". The stretch from base 1 to 120 matches the Rfam family "5.8S ribosomal RNA", at positions 35 to 154 of the family's 154-position model. The record is from RNAcentral.
GAUGAAGAACGCAGCGAAACGCGAUAAGUAAUGUGAAUUGCAGAAUCCAGUGAAUCAUCGAAUCUUUGAACGCACAUUGCGCCCGCCAGCAUUCUGGCGGGCAUGCCUGUUCGAGCGUCAUUUCAACCCUCGACCUCCCUUUGGGGAAGUCGGCGUUGGGGACCGGCAGCACACCGCCGGCCCUGAAAUGGAGUGGCGGCCCGUCCGCGGCGACCUCUGCGUAGUAAUCCAACUCGCACCGGAACCCCGACGCGGCCACGCCGUAAAACACCCAACUUCUGAACGUUGACCUCGAAUCAGGUAGGACUACCCGCUGAACUUAAGCAUAUCAAUAAGCGGAGGA